CCGAUGACAACAAAUCGGAUGAUGAUUGCGCGAACCAUGCACGAGAAAACAAAGUGAACGGAAUUUGAAGCAUAACGCAGUUAGGGACGUUGACGAUAAAUGUGACAUGCGUUUGUUUACUAUUUUUUCCACGAGAAAAGUCAAUCGACACAUCCACCGAAACGGAACCGGAUAGCUAGUCUACUUCUAACCAGGUAUAAUACUAUGAUUAAAGAAAUUAGUGCGUCAGAAAAAAACAGUUCUAUUUUUGGAAACUACAAACGUUAUAUAGGACGAGAAAUGACAGGUUUUAACCUGUAGCUAGCCACGCAUGCUGUGAGCCGUAUAAGGCUAUCGACUAGUUCGCUAUCACGUUUUAAAAAGUACGUUUUAAGCGUCGAAUGCCACAGGUAAACGGUUAUCAUUACCAGUAUUCUAAAUUUAGGACGUGACGUUGAGAGGAUUCCCUAAAUUUUAGAUGUGCGUGGGAAUUACAUUCGAGUUGACGAGAAGAAACUUUUACAACUGUUACUGAAAAAAGCAGUACAUAAGCAUGGGAUAUAAAACCAAACCAAAGUCGCAGAACGUGAAUGAGGAUAACCCGGCUAAACAAUCCACAGAAACUCAACCAGCUGUGGAAGAAGUAUCAAUGGAAAUGAACCAACAAGCCAAGAAUGGAGAAGCCAGUCAGUUAGACAGGGUGGGUUUCAGUACCCCCCAUGCCCCGACUCCCCGCCGGUUACAGGCCGAUCGUCCCCGUAGUGCUCAUGUCCACAGGGUGUGUGGUCGGCUACUGCGACUAAUCGGCGACGAUUAUCUCUGUAGUUCAUGCGGUAAAGCUCUUCAAACAAUUGGUGAUGAGCUGACGACGGAAUACGCUAUACGGAAAGCGCUCAGCUGCAACGAUCUGGAGAAACUCCAACCUAAGAGAUGACAUGUUUAAUAUACGUGUCUAAUGUUACAACAAGCUACAUCGAUAUAACUGACAUAUAUACCAUCAGGGGAAGUGGAUGCAAAAAGCCUUUUAGGAUACCAUGUGCUUAAAGAUGUCAUGAAGAAUCUUGGCCGUGUAUUAAGUAGGAUCAAAGAAUGAAAAUCUGAGAUAGGAAAAGUAUGUUUAAAACAGAAUGAGAAAUCAUGUCAUGGAAAACGUACAUGUGAUAUUUGUACGUGUCCCAGACUUGGAAAAAUAUACAAUAUGUGUUUUGCAUGAACUAUUGCUCAAUACUACAGAUUAAAGACCUAUUUUUGUAUAAAAACACUUCGAUGUUCUCUGAAAAAUAUGCAAAAUAUUUACAUAUGCUAGCAUACGUCCUAAAACCAUGUAACAGCUACAUGUACGUUUUGUAUAGUCCACUGUAGUUCAUUACCAGGUACAGUCUGUGUUUAAGACUCAGUAUGACAGCGUGAAAAGUGAUGUACUGGUUCAUACAUAUAUACUGAUUGAUAAUAUACUUGAAAGAUCUACAUCUACAUUGUACAGAAAUUUGGUUUCUAAGCCAGACAUUUUCCUGUGUGUUCAUAGUGAAAACACUUUGUGCUGCUAAUUUAUUUUUAAAAAAUGUAAUGUCUUCCAUUUCUAUAUAUACGUGUCUACAAUGUAUUUCAGAUAUUUUAAAAAGAUAUUCGGCUGAAUUUAUGAAGACUUUAUAAGGAAAUAUUAAAUUAAUGUCUUCUAUUUCUAUAUGUACAUGCCUACAAGGUAUUUAAUCAUGAAUAUAAAAUAUUUUUGAAUUAAGAUAUUUUUAAAAGAUAUUCGGCCAAAUUUACGAAGCCUGUUUAUGUCUUACACAUUUGUAACUACAUACAUUUACAAUGUUUAAGCACCUUGUUUAAGAGAAACAGACUUCGUAAAUUUGGUCAGUUAUUUGUAAAUUUGGUCUGUUAUUUUAACAUACAGAGUAUAAACUUCCCUUCUAUGCUGUAGGUUAGUUGCACAUUUGGUGUUUGAGUGGUGUUCUUGCGUGUGAAACACAUUUUGGGUUUUUGUCUGUUUUGGGAUUCACAAAUAAGGGAUAUCGCACCAUUCACCUAUAAAGUAAGCUACUUAGUUUUUCAAACAUUUGUACUCAGCUCGGCAGCUGAUCUACAUUAGACUACCUCGUUGUUUUUUGCCGUCACUAAGUGUUCAGUUGAAUAAGUACAAGUAUAGCUAGUGUUUGAAAUAUGCACGUGUUCGUUUGUCUCGACAAGUAAAAAUCUAUUUGGAAAAGCAACAUGUGCCUCGGUGGUUGUCCAGUGGACAAGUAAAACAUUUCAGUGCAGUUUCAUUUGGAGAAAUUAAAAAUGUCAUCCUUGUACUUGAAUAAAACAAUCUAUUUAUUUGGACAAGUGAAAAUAUUGGUGGACAAGUAGAUUUCUAGGUGUAUUUUUCCGAUGGACUAGUAAAACAAUUUUGCUUAUUUUUAUCACUGAUAGUAAAUCGAACGAUUAAAAAAGAAGUCAGUGUAAAUGUCCAUUUGAUCAAACCAGGCCUCGAACUUAAGAAUUUGUGUCACAAAGCAAUUUGUAAAAUAAUUGCCAUGGGUGAAAUAGUCCACCGAUAGCAAUUUUGAGCCUGCCUUUGGCAAUUUGUUAAAAAGUGACAUUUGCAGCAAAUAAACGUGACUGAAAGGCUAUCUUGUUAUAUGCAGACAUAUUUUAAAUGUGCAAAUGUUAAAUAUUGGAAGAUUAUGUACCCUAGGUGUAUACAUUUCGCUAUUGUCGAGGAGCUUUAUCGACGACACAAAAGUGCCAUUGGUAAUGCUCGCUACAUACAGCAAUUUAUAUCUCAACAACAGCAAUUGCCGUCGGUGCUGUUGUUAAGUUCGAGCCCUGCAAACUAUUGAUAAAAGGACAGUCCUGGGUUUUCUGCCAUUGUUUCGAUUUUGCCAAUACAAUGCAAUAAAUACAAGUAGUUACAUAUUAAAUAUAUUUCUGAUAAACCUAGUGUUUGUAACUGGUCAAGCUUAAUUUUAUUCCCUAAUAUAUUUUUUUCACAGGUACACAAUUAUUGAGAGACUAACUACAGUUUGGGCUACUUACAAACAGGAUGAUAAAAAACCCAACAACAUUGAAUAGACAGAUACUAGUAUUCUAAACAAGAAACUAUAUUCAGUAUGUAAUUUUUGUCGAUAAACUAUUUUACAAUGGCAGCAAGAUCAGGACUGUCUCUUUGAUGUAAAUGCUUUAUACAGGGUAUUUGUGGAAAAUGUGUUUUAUUUUUAAGAUACAGAUAAGGCUUAGGAUGAAUAUGAAACUUUCUGUUUCUCUUUAAAUAUUACUGACUUUAUAUUCAAUAUGUUUCCGAUUAUUUUAAUUUUUUUGUGAACUCAAAUUGCAUUUUGUUUUCCAAUAUGGUACAUAUGUUUUUUCAUACAUACAUACUAACAUGGUCUUUUUGAUGAUUAAAAUUACAUAUUAAAUACAUUUUCUUGUUUAGCAUAUCAGUGUCUGCAUAUUCACUGUGUUUUUGGCCGUCCUGGUAAUUUUAGGAGCCCAAACAGGAUUUUACCCACCCCUCCCAUAAAUAACUCAAAAACAUGUUAUAAUUGCAGGAAGUUAAAUACAAUUGUUUAAAAUAACUCGGUGGAUAUAUUUUGCCAGUAUUGCCAAACCAGAGUUUGUGACGAAACAAAAACAAUGUUUAUCAAACAUAUUUUAGGCAUUUAUUUCCUCAUUUCAGUGUUCAUGAUUGAUGUAGAUUUAUUUUUUAAUUUAUAUUAUAUUUAUGAAUAAAAGUUUAUACAAUUUA
RNAcentral lists this long non-coding RNA (3712 nucleotides) under Gigantopelta aegis. RNAcentral's name for it is "uncharacterized LOC121380081". Lineage: Eukaryota; Metazoa; Mollusca; Gastropoda; Neomphalida; Peltospiridae. The record is from RNAcentral.